RNAcentral lists this transfer RNA (72 nucleotides) under Ovis aries (sheep). It matches the Rfam family "tRNA". From Rfam's summary of the family: Transfer RNA (tRNA) molecules are approximately 80 nucleotides in length. Lineage: Eukaryota; Metazoa; Chordata; Mammalia; Artiodactyla; Bovidae. The record is from Rfam by way of RNAcentral.
UCCCAGCUAGCUCAGCUGGUAAAGAAUCUGCCUGCACUGCAGGAGACCUGAGUUCGAUCCCUGGGUUGGGAA